GACGAACGCUGGCGGCGUGCCUAAUACAUGCAAGUAGAACGCUGAAGGAGGAGCUUGCUUCUCUGGAUGAGUUGCGAACGGGUGAGUAACGCGUAGGUAACCUGCCUGGUAGCGGGGGAUAACUAUUGGAAACGAUAGCUAAUACCGCAUAAGAGUAGAUGUUGCAUGACAUUUGCUUAAAAGGUGCAAUUGCAUCACUACCAGAUGGACCUGCGUUGUAUUAGCUAGUUGGUGAGGUAACGGCUCACCAAGGCAACGAUACAUAGCCGACCUGAGAGGGUGAUCGGCCACACUGGGACUGAGACACGGCCCAGACUCCUACGGGAGGCAGCAGUAGGGAAUCUUCGGCAAUGGACGGAAGUCUGACCGAGCAACGCCGCGUGAGUGAAGAAGGGUGUCGGAUCGUAAAGCUCUGUUGUAAGAGAAGAACGAGUGUGAGAGUGGAAAGUUCACACUGUGACGGUAUCUUAACAGAAAGGGACGGCUAACUACGUG
This 495-nucleotide ribosomal RNA is filed under the name uncultured bacterium. RNAcentral's name for it is "partial 16S ribosomal RNA". It matches the Rfam family "Bacterial small subunit ribosomal RNA", at positions 28 to 507 of the family's 1533-position model. The record is from RNAcentral.